This 590-nucleotide ribosomal RNA is filed under the name Hepatozoon sp. Its description in RNAcentral is "bacterial SSU rRNA". It matches the Rfam family "Eukaryotic small subunit ribosomal RNA", at positions 324 to 907 of the family's 1831-position model. The record is from RNAcentral. Lineage: Eukaryota; Apicomplexa; Hepatozoidae.
GACGGUAUGGUAUUGGCUUACCGUGGCAGUGACGGUUAACGGGGGAUUAGGGUUCGAUUCCGGAGAGGGAGCCUGAGAAACGGCUACCACAUCUAAGGAAGGCAGCAGGCGCGCAAAUUACCCAAUUCUAACAGCAUAAGAGAGGUAGUGACAAGAAAUAACAAUACAAGGCAGUUAAAAUGCUUUGUAAUUGGAAUGAUAGAAAUUUAAACACUUUUUAAAGUAUCAAUUGGAGGGCAAGUCUGGUGCCAGCAGCCGCGGUAAUUCCAGCUCCAAUAGCGUAUAUUAAAAUUGUUGCAGUUAAAAAGCUCGUAGUUGAAUUUCUGCUAAAAAUAACCGGUCUGCUUUUAACAAAAGUGGUAUCUUGGUGUGUUUUUAGCAAUAAUGUCCUUUGAAAUGUGUUUUACUUUGUUGUAAAAGAUAAUAUUCAGGAUUUUUACUUUGAGAAAAUUAGAGUGUUUCUAGCAGGCUAAUGUUUUGAAUACUGCAGCAUGGAAUAAUAAAAUAUGAUUUUGGUUCUACAUUGUUGGUUUUAAGAGCUGAAUUAAUGAUUGAUAGGAACAGUUGGGGGCAUUUGUAUUUAACUGUCA